RNAcentral lists this ribosomal RNA (899 nucleotides) under uncultured bacterium. RNAcentral's name for it is "bacterial SSU rRNA". It matches the Rfam family "Bacterial small subunit ribosomal RNA", at positions 11 to 915 of the family's 1533-position model. The record is from RNAcentral.
GUUUGAUCCUGGCUCAGGAUGAACGCUAGCGGCAGGCUUAACACAUGCAAGUCGAGGGGUAUAGUUCUUCGGAACUAGAGACCGGCGCACGGGUGCGUAACGCGUAUGCAAUCUACCUUUUACAGAGGGAUAGCCCAGAGAAAUUUGGAUUAAUACCUCAUAGUAUAAUGAGUUGGCAUCAAUACAUUAUUAAAGUCACAACGGUAAAAGAUGAGCAUGCGUCCCAUUAGCUUGUUGGUAAGGUAACGGCUUACCAAGGCAACGAUGGGUAGGGGUCCUGAGAGGGAGAUCCCCCACACUGGUACUGAGACACGGACCAGACUCCUACGGGAGGCAGCAGUGAGGAAUAUUGGACAAUGGGCGCAAGCCUGAUCCAGCCAUGCCGCGUGCAGGAUGACGGUCCUAUGGAUUGUAAACUGCUUUUGUACAGGAAGAAACACUGGUUCGUGAACCAGCUUGACGGUACUGUAAGAAUAAGGAUCGGCUAACUCCGUGCCAGCAGCCGCGGUAAUACGGAGGAUCCAAGCGUUAUCCGGAAUCAUUGGGUUUAAAGGGUCCGUAGGCGGUCAGAUAAGUCAGUGGUGAAAGCCCAUCGCUCAACGGUGGAACGGCCAUUGAUACUGUCUGACUUGAAUUAUUAGGAAGUAACUAGAAUAUGUAGUGUAGCGGUGAAAUGCUUAGAGAUUACAUGGAAUACCAAUUGCGAAGGCAGGUUACUACUAAUGGAUUGACGCUGAUGGACGAAAGCGUGGGUAGCGAACAGGAUUAGAUACCCUGGUAGUCCACGCCGUAAACGAUGGAUACUAGCUGUUGGGAGCAAUCUCAGUGGCUAAGCGAAAGUGAUAAGUAUCCCACCUGGGGAGUACGUUCGACAAGAAUGAAACUCAAAGGAAUUGACG